RNAcentral lists this ribosomal RNA (253 nucleotides) under uncultured bacterium. Its description in RNAcentral is "partial 16S ribosomal RNA". It matches the Rfam family "Bacterial small subunit ribosomal RNA", at positions 524 to 776 of the family's 1533-position model. The record is from RNAcentral.
UACGUAGGGAGCAAGCGUUGUUCGGAUUUACUGGGCGUAAAGGGCGCGUAGGCGGCGCGGUAAGUCACUUGUGAAAUCUCUGAGCUUAACUCAGAACGGCCAAGUGAUACUGCAGUGCUAGAGUGCAGAAGGGGCAAUCGGAAUUCUUGGUGUAGCGGUGAAAUGCGUAGAUAUCAGGAGGAACACCUGUGGUGAAGGCGGGUUGCUGGGCUGACACUGACGCUGAGGCGCGAAAGCUAGGGGAGCGAACGGG